Non-coding RNA from Aedes albopictus (Asian tiger mosquito), 45 nucleotides. The record is from Rfam. NCBI's taxonomy places the organism in Eukaryota, Metazoa, Arthropoda, Insecta, Diptera, Culicidae.
CCAACGGUCCUUUUCAGGACCACAGUCUUUCCAAAAGAGUUAAGA